This 495-nucleotide ribosomal RNA is filed under the name uncultured bacterium. RNAcentral describes it as "bacterial SSU rRNA". It matches the Rfam family "Bacterial small subunit ribosomal RNA", at positions 27 to 518 of the family's 1533-position model. The record is from RNAcentral.
GGACGAACGCUGGCGGCGUGCCUAACACAUGCAAGUCGAACGGAGAUAUUUGAAUGAAAACUUCGGUUGGAUUUCGAUUUAUCUUAGUGGCGGACGGGUGAGUAACGCGUGAGUAACCUGCCUUUUGAGGGGGAUAACAUCGGGAAAUCGAUGCUAAUACCGCAUGACAUUCAGAAUCUGCAUGGAAUCUGAAUCAAAGGAGCAAUCCGCAAAAAGAUGGACUCGCGUCCGAUUAGCCAGUUGGUGAGGUAACGGCUCACCAAAGCAACGAUCGGUAGCCGGGUUGAGAGACUGAACGGCCACAUUGGGACUGAGACACGGCCCAGACUCCUACGGGAGGCAGCAGUGGGGGAUAUUGCACAAUGGGCGAAAGCCUGAUGCAGCAACGCCGCGUGAGGGAAGAAGGUUUUCGGAUUGUAAACCUCUGUCCAAAGGGAAGAAACAAAUGACGGUACCUUUGGAGGAAGCUCCGGCUAACUACGUGCCAGCAGCCGC